RNAcentral lists this long non-coding RNA (693 nucleotides) under Meleagris gallopavo (turkey). RNAcentral describes it as "lncRNA (ENSMGAG00000018503.1)". Lineage: Eukaryota; Metazoa; Chordata; Aves; Galliformes; Phasianidae. The record is from RNAcentral.
CUCCUUUCCCACCCCUCCAAAAAAGGGCUGCAGGUGGUUAUAGCAUUUUCUGUUUGGAAGUUAGAGGCUGUGGUCACUCUUCUAGUUUGGAACUGGGAGAACAGAAGGGUUGGAGGUCAGGCAGCGCGGCCUCCUGUUUGUGUGUUUUCCUCUCUGACCCUGUUUUGCAGGACUGGUUGGAGCUGUGUAUUGGGACAGUGAUGCCUUGGCCUGAUCUGACAGAGGUGAUGGGCCAGAAUUUGGUAUGAGACAUCCACACACACACACACAGCUUGAGCUCACCAGUUUCGUCCUUGUAAGAAGCCAAUGAAGACACAUGGACAAAAGAUUCUUCGCCGGCUCUUUGAAAGACGCUUCCAUGGGUGUUCUGCAGCCGGGCUGGGAGCCUGCAGCACUGCACAGAUGCAGAUGUUCACUCCAGCCACUGUCAGGCACUUCCAAGGGUGCCCAAGGCAAUAGCCAUGACCCUUUGCUUCCUGUCUUCGGUGAGAACACAUAGAUGCCUUCAGCCUGUCCCCAAUGAGGACAUGUAGAUGGUGAUCCAGUGACUUCAGUGAUGUCCUGCGCCAUGCAAGAAGCAGCUGUCCUGACUCAUGCCCUGCUUUCUCCAUCAGUAAUCUGAGCCCCUUUUGCAUGUAUUGUUGAUGAGGACUGGGCUUUCACAGGAGAUGGGAUUUAAGAAGCAACUUGUGC